UACAGAGGGUGCGAGCGUUAAUCGGAAUUACUGGGCGUAAAGCGCACGUAGGCGGCUUGGUAUGUCGGGUGUGAAAUCCCCGGGCUCAACCUGGGAACUGCAUCCGAAACUGCCUUGCUCGAGUAUGGGAGAGGGAAGUGGAAUUUCCGGUGUAGCGGUGAAAUGCGUAGAUAUCGGAAGGAACACCAAUGGCGAAGGCAGCUCGCUGGGACGGUACUGACGCUGAGACGCGAAAGCGUGGGGAGCAAACAGG
RNAcentral lists this ribosomal RNA (253 nucleotides) under uncultured bacterium. RNAcentral's name for it is "partial 16S ribosomal RNA". It matches the Rfam family "Bacterial small subunit ribosomal RNA", at positions 524 to 776 of the family's 1533-position model. The record is from RNAcentral.